This is a non-coding RNA of Pogona vitticeps (central bearded dragon), 331 nucleotides long. Lineage: Eukaryota; Metazoa; Chordata; Lepidosauria; Squamata; Agamidae. The record is from RefSeq and is a predicted model, not a curated record.
UCUGAAUACAAAAAACCUCUAACUACAAGUUUCAUAUUUAAAUUCUACUUACAAACAUUGAAGCAAUUAAACCAAAUGCAUCCAUCUAGGUAUGAGGCUGUACCGGUGGAAUAUGUGAGCACUUUGGACGACUUCCGUAGCAGUCUCCCUAAAGGUUCACAAAAAUAUCAGGAUAUUAACCCGGAACAGUUGCCCCAUGACACAGUAGGGUGUCCCCUGAUGCAUCUUGCAGCGAUCAAGCAUGCCACAGGAGAAGCUCUCUAUUGUGAUGACAUUCACCCUGUGCAGAAGGAACUCUUUUUGGCCUUCGUGACAAGUUCAAGAGCCCAUG